This 320-nucleotide ribosomal RNA is filed under the name uncultured eukaryote. Its description in RNAcentral is "partial 18S ribosomal RNA". It matches the Rfam family "Eukaryotic small subunit ribosomal RNA", at positions 1470 to 1796 of the family's 1831-position model. The record is from RNAcentral.
CCCCUAGAUGUUCUGGGCCGCACGCGCGCUACACUGAACAGUUCAACAAGUCUUAACCUUGGCCGAUAGGUCUGGGUAAUCUUUGAACGCUGUUCGUGAUUGGGAUAGACCUUUGCAAUUAUGGGUCUUCAACGAGGAAUUCCUAGUAAACGCAAGUCAUCAGCUUGCAUUGAUUACGUCCCUGCCCUUUGUACACACCGCCCGUCGCACCUACCGAUUGAAUGGUCCGGUGAAAUCUCGGGACGGCGGCUUGGUCGCUUGCGUCCGACUGCUGAAACUUGAUUAAACCAUAUCAUUUAGAGGAAAGUGAAGUCGUANCA